Molecule: ribosomal RNA, 119 nt
Organism: Oncorhynchus kisutch (coho salmon)
Lineage: Eukaryota; Metazoa; Chordata; Actinopteri; Salmoniformes; Salmonidae
Source: Ensembl
GCUUACGACCACACCGGCCUGAGUACGCCUGAUCUCGUCUGAUCUCGGAAGCUAAGUAGGGUCGGGCCUGUUUAGUACUUGGAUGGGUGACCGCCUGGGAAUACCAGGUGCUGCAAGCU